CAGCCGCCGCGGUAAUACGUAGGGUGCAAGCGUUAAUCGGAAUUACUGGGCAUAAAGCGUGCGCAGGCGGUUAUAUAAGACAGAUGUGAAAUCCCCGGGCUCAACCUGGGAACUGCAUUUGUGACUGUAUAGCUAGAGUACGGCAGAGGGGGAUGGAAUUCCGCGUGUAGCAGUGAAAUGCGUAGAUAUGCGGAGGAACACCGAUGGCGAAGGCAAUCCCCUGGGCCUGUACUGACGCUCAUGCACGAAAGCGUGGGGAGCAAACAGGAUUAGAUACCCCUGUAGUCCCUGUCUCUUAUAC
Molecule: ribosomal RNA, 301 nt
Filed under: uncultured bacterium
Lineage: Bacteria
Description: partial 16S ribosomal RNA
Rfam family: Bacterial small subunit ribosomal RNA
Source: RNAcentral